Molecule: long non-coding RNA, 1405 nt
Organism: Clupea harengus (Atlantic herring)
Lineage: Eukaryota; Metazoa; Chordata; Actinopteri; Clupeiformes; Clupeidae
Source: Ensembl
CAUACUGGCGCAGGCAUUCAUCUCAGAAGCCGACUCCAAUAUGAGCUGCGGCGCACGAGCUUGGCUGAAUAAAGUCGGAGGAGGCGAGCGGCGUAUAAACUCUGGUGUGACGGAGGAAACACAAGCAGCAAUGGCACUUGUCAGGCCUUGUUGUGAGGUCAUACUGGGAUGGAGCACUCAGUGUCUUGCUCGGAGCACGUGAUUUUGUAGAAGCAGAUUUGUGGCUGUGUUUUCUUCCACCCCACCCCCCAUCCUCCCCCCACCCCUCAAGACCAACUUAGAAAAUGCACUUUGACUUUUCACCGAGUUCAGGGAAAGACCUUUCACUGACCAAAUGAAAGUCAGGGGAGAAGCCUUCUCCACAGCUCGUGGCAAAAGGCCAUGUCACUGCGCCCACAAAGCACAUUCUCACUUCCAAGAGCACUGAAACUCGGUUUGGCCUCCCUUAUGGCUCUCUAAUUGGAUUAGAGAGAAGAGAAGGGUCUAGUUCGUUGCUUUCCUGUCGUUUUUUUUUCUAUCUUUCUUUUUUUUUGGUCCGAGCGCUGAACAGAGCACUGGUACCGUGGUUAGGAGACAGUCCGCUCAGGGAUGAUGACAAGGGCCCUUGACCAAUCCGGAAGAGAGCAGGUGUCAUGCUGAUUUGGAAGAUAGUGGAGACUUCUCCCGGCAUCUGGCUAAUUUCCUCUCAUUAGCCUCUGUGAGUGCCCUCGCUCGUUGCAAACGGCUCCGUUUUUUCUUUCCUUUUUUUUUUUUGUCUCUCUCCCCUCCACCUCAAGGUAACCCGAUCGGCCUCCCCUUGACCUCCCCUCCGCAGAGAGCUAAUCAGGCUCACCUGUGGUGUGCCCGCGCGGACCGCAGAACGCUAGCUCAGCAACAGCUGAUCCUGUUUUAUCUCACGGGGAAACACGAGGGGCCAAGGACCCUGGUCAAAUCCAGCGUCUCUCUUCUCCCCCAACCCCCCCCCCAUCUCUGCACUCCCUGUGUGGGAGUCUGAGCCAAAUCACCUGUGUGGAAGCAGGGCGGGAUGGGGUGUGGGGUGGGGUGUGGUGUGGUGGGGUGGGGUAAGGUGGGGUGAGGUACGGGGGGAGAGUGGAUCGGUGCAGAGCCGUUCUGCCCUUGUGAACAUCAUCAAAGGCCGGGGUGGGAGCCGGGAUCAGGACUUCAGAGGAGGAAAGCAUUACUUAAUGCACUCUCUCCCGGCCUCCUUUUGUCUGCUGAUAACAGAACUGGCCCGAGAGCCAGUGGUAGCGAGCGCACUUGUGGAAGAAACACGCGCAGGUUCUUUGAGGUAAAACAUUGAAAAACAAAGGCACUGCAGCACUGUGGAGGCACUGCUUGAAAUGAAAGAGAACAAACAAAGGGCAAUAUGUCAAGCUAAGCUCAGGAACACAAACACGCCGCCUGC